AGCGGACUGUUGCAAAUACAAACGACACCUGAGCUUGGGUAUGUUGAUGAUGAUGUUGUCAUAUGCUCCCCCAGAAGUUUUGUUGAGGCUAGGGAGAAUGCUAGAAGGAACCGUGGGGUGGUAGAGGUGAUUGAUGCAGAAAGGGAUUUUCGAAGAGGCCAUUCAGAAUCAGCAGUGGUAUUAUUUCCUGGUGGCAACAACCGGCGCAAAGGAGGUUCAACAAAACGUGCAAAUGUCAAUGGUGACCUUUGCAUAAACUUAGAAAGCAAUGAGAAUGCCUAGAGUAACAAUGUUUGUGAAGCUCUAGAAGUAUACCAGAGUGUUCCCCCGCCAAAGGCACCUAGCUUUAGUUGCCCAGUUUGCAUGGGCCCAUUUGUUGAAGAAACAUCUACCAAGUGCGGUCAC
Molecule: long non-coding RNA, 405 nt
Organism: Rhododendron vialii
Lineage: Eukaryota; Viridiplantae; Streptophyta; Magnoliopsida; Ericales; Ericaceae
Exons: 4
Source: RefSeq, a predicted model, not a curated record